RNAcentral lists this ribosomal RNA (516 nucleotides) under uncultured Glomeraceae. RNAcentral describes it as "SSU rRNA". It matches the Rfam family "Eukaryotic small subunit ribosomal RNA", at positions 569 to 1082 of the family's 1831-position model. Lineage: Eukaryota; Fungi; Glomeromycota; Glomeromycetes; Glomerales; Glomeraceae. The record is from RNAcentral.
AGCAGCCGCGGUAAUUCCAGCUCCAAUAGCGUAUAUUAAAGUUGUUGCAGUUAAAAAGCUCGUAGUUGAAUUUCGGAAUCGACGGAUUGGUCGCGCCUUCGGUGUGUACUGGUCUUGCCGGUUUCUCCCUUCUGACGAACCACGAUGUCAUUAAUUUGGUGUCGUGGGGAAUCAGGACUGUUACUUUGAAAAAAUUAGAGUGUUUAAAGCAGGCAUUAGCUUGAAUACAUUAGCAUGGAAUAAUGAAAUAGGACGUUUGAUCUUAUUUUGUUGGUUUCUAGGAUCGACGUAAUGAUUAAUAGGGAUAGUUGGGGGCAUUAGUAUUCAAUUUGUCAGAGGUGAAAUUCUUAGGAUUUUAUUGAAGACUAAACUACUGCGAAAGCAAUUUGCCAAGGAUGUUUUCAUUAAUCUAAGAACGAAAGUUAGGGGAUCGAAGACGAUCAGAUACCGUCGUAGUCUUAACCAUAAACUAUGCCGACUAGGGAUCGGGAUGAUGUUAAUUUUUUAAUGUACUCA